GGUUAAGCGACUAAGCGUACACGGUGGAUGCCCUGGCAGUCAGAGGCGAUGAAGGACGUGCUAAUCUGCGAUAAGCGUCGGUAAGGUGAUAUGAACCGUUAUAACCGGCGAUUUCCGAAUGGGGAAACCCAGUGUGAUUCGUCACACUAUCAUUAACUGAAUCCAUAGGUUAAUGAGGCGAACCGGGGGAACUGAAACAUCUAAGUACCCCGAGGAAAAGAAAUCAACCGAGAUUCCCCCAGUAGCGGCGAGCGAACGGGGAGCAGCCCAGAGCCUGAAUCAGUGUGUGUGUUAGUGGAAGCGUCUGGAAAGGCGCGCGAUACAGGGUGACAGCCCCGUACACAAAAAUGCACAUGCUGUGAGCUCGAUGAGUAGGGCGGGACACGUGGUAUCCUGUCUGAAUAUGGGGGGACCAUCCUCCAAGGCUAAAUACUCCUGACUGACCGAUAGUGAACCAGUACCGUGAGGGAAAGGCGAAAAGAACCCCGGCGAGGGGAGUGAAAAAGAACCUGAAACCGUGUACGUACAAGCAGUGGGAGCACGCUUAGGCGUGUGACUGCGUACCUUUUGUAUAAUGGGUCAGCGACUUAUAUUCUGUAGCAAGGUUAACCGAAUAGGGGAGCCGAAGGGAAACCGAGUCUUAACUGGGCGUUAAGUUGCAGGGUAUAGACCCGAAACCCGGUGAUCUAGCCAUGGGCAGGUUGAAGGUUGGGUAACACUAACUGGAGGACCGAACCGACUAAUGUUGAAAAAUUAGCGGAUGACUUGUGGCUGGGGGUGAAAGGCCAAUCAAACCGGGAGAUAGCUGGUUCUCCCCGAAAGCUAUUUAGGUAGCGCCUCGUGAAUUCAUCUCCGGGGGUAGAGCACUGUUUCGGCAAGGGGGUCAUCCCGACUUACCAACCCGAUGCAAACUGCGAAUACCGGAGAAUGUUAUCACGGGAGACACACGGCGGGUGCUAACGUCCGUCGUGAAGAGGGAAACAACCCAGACCGCCAGCUAAGGUCCCAAAGUCAUGGUUAAGUGGGAAACGAUGUGGGAAGGCCCAGACAGCCAGGAUGUUGGCUUAGAAGCAGCCAUCAUUUAAAGAAAGCGUAAUAGCUCACUGGUCGAGUCGGCCUGCGCGGAAGAUGUAACGGGGCUAAACCAUGCACCGAAGCUGCGGCAGCGACGCUGAUGCGUUGUUGGGUAGGGGAGCGUUCUGUAAGCCUGCGAAGGUGUGCUGUGAGGCAUGCUGGAGGUAUCAGAAGUGCGAAUGCUGACAUAAGUAACGAUAAAGCGGGUGAAAAGCCCGCUCGCCGGAAGACCAAGGGUUCCUGUCCAACGUUAAUCGGGGCAGGGUGAGUCGACCCCUAAGGCGAGGCCGAAAGGCGUAGUCGAUGGGAAACAGGUUAAUAUUCCUGUACUUGGUGUUACUGCGAAGGGGGACGGAGAAGGCUAUGUUGGCCGGGCGACGGUUGUCCCGGUUUAAGCGUGUAGGCUGGUUUUCCAGGCAAAUCCGGAAAAUCAAGGCUGAGGCGUGAUGACGAGGCACUACGGUGCUGAAGCAACAAAUGCCCUGCUUCCAGGAAAAGCCUCUAAGCAUCAGGUAACAUCAAAUCGUACCCCAAACCGACACAGGUGGUCAGGUAGAGAAUACCAAGGCGCUUGAGAGAACUCGGGUGAAGGAACUAGGCAAAAUGGUGCCGUAACUUCGGGAGAAGGCACGCUGAUAUGUAGGUGAAGCGACUUGCUCGUGGAGCUGAAAUCAGUCGAAGAUACCAGCUGGCUGCAACUGUUUAUUAAAAACACAGCACUGUGCAAACACGAAAGUGGACGUAUACGGUGUGACGCCUGCCCGGUGCCGGAAGGUUAAUUGAUGGGGUUAGCGCAAGCGAAGCUCUUGAUCGAAGCCCCGGUAAACGGCGGCCGUAACUAUAACGGUCCUAAGGUAGCGAAAUUCCUUGUCGGGUAAGUUCCGACCUGCACGAAUGGCGUAAUGAUGGCCAGGCUGUCUCCACCCGAGACUCAGUGAAAUUGAACUCGCUGUGAAGAUGCAGUGUACCCGCGGCAAGACGGAAAGACCCCGUGAACCUUUACUAUAGCUUGACACUGAACAUUGAGCCUUGAUGUGUAGGAUAGGUGGGAGGCUUUGAAGUGUGGACGCCAGUCUGCAUGGAGCCGGCCUUGAAAUACCACCCUUUAAUGUUUGAUGUUCUAACGUUGACCCGUAAUCCGGGUUGCGGACAGUGUCUGGUGGGUAGUUUGACUGGGGCGGUCUCCUCCUAAAGAGUAACGGAGGAGCACGAAGGUUGGCUAAUCCUGGUCGGACAUCAGGAGGUUAGUGCAAUGGCAUAAGCCAGCUUGACUGCGAGCGUGACGGCGCGAGCAGGUGCGAAAGCAGGUCAUAGUGAUCCGGUGGUUCUGAAUGGAAGGGCCAUCGCUCAACGGAUAAAAGGUACUCCGGGGAUAACAGGCUGAUACCGCCCAAGAGUUCAUAUCGACGGCGGUGUUUGGCACCUCGAUGUCGGCUCAUCACAUCCUGGGGCUGAAGUAGGUCCCAAGGGUAUGGCUGUUCGCCAUUUAAAGUGGUACGCGAGCUGGGUUUAGAACGUCGUGAGACAGUUCGGUCCCUAUCUGCCGUGGGCGCUGGAGAACUGAGGGGGGCUGCUCCUAGUACGAGAGGACCGGAGUGGACGCAUCACUGGUGUUCGGGUUGUCAUGCCAAUGGCACUGCCCGGUAGCUAAAUGCGGAAGAGAUAAGUGCUGAAAGCAUCUAAGCACGAAACUUGCCCCGAGAUGAGUUCUCCCUGACUCCUUGAGAGUCCUGAAGGAACGUUGAAGACGACGACGUUGAUAGGCCGGGUGUGUAAGCGCAGCGAUGCGUUGAGCUAACCGGUACUAAUGAACCGUGAGGCUUAACCUUAC
Molecule: ribosomal RNA, 2905 nt
Filed under: Escherichia coli KO11FL
Lineage: Bacteria; Pseudomonadati; Pseudomonadota; Gammaproteobacteria; Enterobacterales; Enterobacteriaceae
Description: bacterial LSU rRNA
Rfam family: Bacterial large subunit ribosomal RNA
Source: RNAcentral